RNAcentral lists this ribosomal RNA (497 nucleotides) under uncultured bacterium. Its description in RNAcentral is "partial 16S ribosomal RNA". It matches the Rfam family "Bacterial small subunit ribosomal RNA", at positions 28 to 507 of the family's 1533-position model. The record is from RNAcentral.
GAUGAACGCUGGCGGCGUGCCUAAUACAUGCAAGUCGAGCGAACGGACGAGAAGCUUGCUUCUCUGAUGUUAGCGGCGGACGGGUGAGUAACACGUGGAUAACCUACCUAUAAGACUGGGAUAACUUCGGGAAACCGGAGCUAAUACCGGAUAAUAUUUUGAACCGCAUGGUUCAAAAGUGAAAGACGGUCUUGCUGUCACUUAUAGAUGGAUCCGUGCUGCAUUAGCUAGUUGGUAAGGUAACGACUUACCAAGGCAACGAUGCAUAGCCGACCUGAGAGGGUGAUCGGCCACACUGGAACUGAGACACGGUCCAGACUCCUACGGGAGGCAGCAGUAGGGAAUCUUCCGCAAUGGGCGAAAGCCUGACGGAGCAACGCCGCGUGAGUGAUGAAGGUCUUCGGAUCGUAAAACUCUGUUAUUAGGGAAGAACAUAUGUGUAAGUAACUGUGCACAUCUUGACGGUACCUAAUCAGAAAGCCACGGCUAACUACGUG